UCGCAUGCACAGAGAAGAGACCUUCCAUCCAGCGUUUUUAGUCCUGGUCGUUUUUGAACCUGGAACUAAAGGUCCUCUAGUCCCGCUUGAAAACACAACCCGGAACUAAAGGGGAGGGCCCUUUAGUCCCGGUUAAAACCAACAAUUGGGACUACAUCUCUUCGUACCGGCCUGGCAGCCUUUAUCACCCCACUGCCCUCAUCUCUCUCCCCCACUACCUUAUCCUUUCCCCACCACCGACUCUUUCUCUCCCUCUACCGCUUCCUCUCCAUCUCCUACUCUCUGUCCUCCCUCCACUGGCUGCCGUCGCCGCGCGAGGCCUCCCCGGCCAGGCCCUAGCCGCUGGCGCGUGGCCCGCCGGCCAUGCGAGCGCACGAGCUCUCCCCGACCGGCCCAUGGUCGGUCGGCGCGCAUGUGGGCGAGAUGGCGAGCGGGGGAGCCUGUGGAUACGAGAAGUGGGUGAGAUGAUUUGUUUGUGAAUGAUUUUGUGCUAUGUUGUGAAUCAAAUCGAACUCAUGUGUUGUGAAUCAAAUUGAACUCAUGUGUUGUGAAUCACAAUCUUGUGCGCUCUUACUUUAAUUCGUGAAGUGUUAAUUGUUUUGAUUAUCUUUGUGGUGGAGUUGGAGCUCAAGGAGGUGGUACAGUAGUCGAGGCGGAGCUGGGCGCACGGCGGCACAAGCAGGAACCGGGGAGGGGGGCAUUUUUUUAUUUUUUUGAACCUUUAAUCCCAGGUCGGUUUUCCACCGGUGAUGGAAAAUGGUGCCUCGUUUUCCUCAUGCUCGACUGUGGCAGUGACAAAUGCUCGAAGCGACAAUGAAG
Molecule: long non-coding RNA, 819 nt
Organism: Setaria italica (foxtail millet)
Lineage: Eukaryota; Viridiplantae; Streptophyta; Magnoliopsida; Poales; Poaceae
Exons: 2
Source: RefSeq, a predicted model, not a curated record